AUGACACGGCGUGGCUGCGUGCAGGCGCGGGUGAUACCUGAGACGGACGCCGGGCUGGUGGAGUUCUUCCUGGACACGGACGCGCGGGAGAUCGAGAUCGAGAUCGGCAGGCUCCGCCCCAGGCUGAACAAGGCCUUCUUCGACCACAUCCAGCGGGAGAUCGCACAGAUCAAAUUCGCGGUCACCAGGACAGCGGCAAACGAAGACAGACUGAUCGAGCUGGAGGCCAUGCAGAAGGUCAUCGGGGAGGGAGUCGAGGCCUACGACAAGCUGCAAAACGACCUCGUGACGGCCAAGGAGCGGCUCACCAACAUCCUGCAAUCCAAAGAUAGGAAGAAAACGGUAGAAGAUAGCAACAGAGUGGUAAGGUUUGUGCAGAGAUCUUCUCCUCCGUCGCCAUCCGCGACAAAGCUACUGGGUGCAUCCGUCCAUCUUCAGAUCUGA
Molecule: ribosomal RNA, 444 nt
Filed under: Triticum aestivum (bread wheat)
Lineage: Eukaryota; Viridiplantae; Streptophyta; Magnoliopsida; Poales; Poaceae
Description: partial small subunit ribosomal RNA
Source: RNAcentral